AACCCCCUGUUCUUUGUUCCUCUCUGAACCCAUCGACAAAACUCCGUGGAAGAAAAUCCAAGCUGAAUUCUGACGCGCGAUUAAACGGCGGGUGUUGUGUUUUUUUCGUCUAGGUUCUUUUUUUGCAAACCAGAUUGGAAGGAAGGCAGCAUUUUCGGCACUACUGUAAGAAUAAGAUCAAGCAUUGUCAUGAGAUAAAAAAAUGGAGAUAAGAUAUUGUUCACGCUCUAACAGUAUUUUCGACACUACUGUAAGAUGGAAGGACUUCCAAUGACAUUUGUGUUUUAUCAUGGUGGCAAGUUUAAAACCGAUAUAAGGGGAAGAAUGAUUCAUGAACCAUAUCACACAGAAGUGUUAAUGGGUAACCACACAUACACCUGUAG
Arachis duranensis is the source of this 383-nucleotide long non-coding RNA. RefSeq lists it as uncharacterized. Lineage: Eukaryota; Viridiplantae; Streptophyta; Magnoliopsida; Fabales; Fabaceae. The record is from RefSeq and is a predicted model, not a curated record. The transcript has 3 exons.